UAAUGCUAUAAUCGUCGUGAACAUUAGUAUUUAGUAUACAUUACAAAAGCGUAAAUUCUAUUCGAUCUCUUUCACUCUUAUUCAAAUUUCAUUGGUAAAAUUAAGUAAAGAAAUAAUUUGUGCUCAAGAUCCAAAUAUUAAUUGUCAUUACACAUUUGUUAUCAGCAUACAAACUUCAGAAAUGAGAGUUCAUAGUUCAGUCUUAAAAAUAAAUAUUAUUACGUUAAUUUUUAUUGUUAAACAAAAGUGAUCUUCAUUAUAUCAAUAACAUAUAAUGAACGCUAUUGUUGGUAUUUGCCACUUUUGCGAAGCACACGGUCCCCGGCCUAUUUUUUGUACAUUUACUACAGACAACGAAAAGAACACUACAGAGUCUUCCAAAGCUAAUGUUGAAUGCAAUGGAUGUACUUCCCUGGGUCCUGAGACUGUUUUGGUAACGAAAGAUGAUGAUGGCACUAUAUUCUGCAGUCGAGAAACAGUUCCUAAUAUUGAUGUGACAUCGUUUCUGAGGCAGGCAGCUGUUAGAAGUAUUACCUGUGAGGUAUGCACAAUUAAAUCAUGCUGGACUUAUAUUAUAUACCCCUAUAUAAAAAAAUAUUAUCCAUAUCAGGUGAACUGGAGCAAAGAGGGUGGAGUUGUAUACUUCAGUGAUACUCAAGGCCAUGUCCUCAGCCUCACGUUCCAAUUGCGCGACACACGGGCGCGUGGGCUCAAACGAUGGUUCUCCAUAGUGGUCCUCAUGAAGGACAAGAUGUUACUGCUAAAUAUAACACCAUUAUUGUCUGAACAUAUGCAGAACAUAGCAAAAGAGUUGCAGCAAUUGGCUGAUGUUGUUUUUGAUGAUGAGCAAAAGGUUUGUUCACAAAGAGCCUUGAGGUUACAGACAGGCAGAAAUGAUUUUGGACAAUCAAGAUCUCUGAAACAGUUGACAGGUAAUGAGGAUGUGUUCAAAACUCUCCACUCACACUUUGCUUGGAUGCUAAAAGCAGGGGCGCACACAUACACAGAAACAUUGUAUACCAGCCAAGACCUGUUGAGAAAAUUGAAUCCAAAAACAAUCAAUGGGACAUCAUUUGAGGAUGGUGCAUGUGUUGUACCUAACAAUGAAGAUUGCAUAUCAUUGAGAGCACUAGAGAACUUACUUACAAAAAAUGUUUUCAGAAUAUUGUUGUACUGUACUUUAAUUGGAGUGAAUAUUGCUAUAAGAACAAUACACACAGAUGCAUCAAUUAUCAUGAAGGGCUUAGCAAGACUAAUGCCAGUAACAAAUACACUUUCACAUAUCAGAAUAUUUAGAGGAGAAGAUCCUUCCUCUAAUGUUUGUGUUUUAGAAGAGGUGAAUCAAUCUACCUAUAGCUGUAUAUGGGCAGAAGUUCUCCCAAUGAAAUAGAAUGCUAUGUGCAAUGAUAAAUUCAAUGAUGGUGUUUUACAUCAACAUGUAAAAUCAUUGGUCCUAGAAUGGCUAAGUACUGCAAAAGCAAUAAAAGCCACUAUGUCAUCAGCAGGUCACAAAUCGGAAGCAGUUACUAAAUUGAAACAAGUACUUGGUGUUGCACAACAUGAUGAGCAGCUUUUAAAUUUUUGGAUGUAUUCC
Molecule: unclassified non-coding RNA, 1594 nt
Filed under: Manduca sexta (tobacco hornworm)
Lineage: Eukaryota; Metazoa; Arthropoda; Insecta; Lepidoptera; Sphingidae
Description: folliculin, transcript variant X3
Source: RNAcentral